Molecule: long non-coding RNA, 209 nt
Filed under: Sinocyclocheilus anshuiensis
Lineage: Eukaryota; Metazoa; Chordata; Actinopteri; Cypriniformes; Cyprinidae
Description: lncRNA (ENSSANG00000021611.1)
Source: RNAcentral
GGAAUUUAGUGGGAUUUAGCUGCUCAGGAUUGAGUUUUCGAUGCUCAGGACCCCUCCAACAUGAAGAAAUGCCUUGAAUACGCCUUGCUCCUCAUCAUCUCUAUGCUUCACGGCUCGCUGCAGCAGAGAAUCAUCGGAGGACAGGAGGUUGAGCCCUAUUCCAUAAAGUACCAGGCCUCUAUCCAGUACAACAACUACCAUUACUGCGG